UUUCCGUAGGUGAACCUGCGGAAGGAUCAUUAUUGUAUAACCGAGGUGCGAGGGCUGUCGCUGACCCGACAGGCCGUGCACGCCCGAGUGCCCUCACACACAUCCAUCUCACCCCUAUGUGCACCACCGCGUGGGUCCCCCUUUGGCUUGUUCGGAGGGGGGCUUACGUUUUCACACAAACUUUGUAUGCAGUGUAGAAUGUAUUUUUUGUUUUUGCGAUCACGCAAUCAAUACAACUUUCAACAACGGAUCUCUUGGCUCUC
This 263-nucleotide unclassified non-coding RNA is filed under the name plant metagenome. RNAcentral's name for it is "partial contains small subunit ribosomal RNA, internal transcribed spacer 1, and 5.8S ribosomal RNA". The record is from RNAcentral.